This 550-nucleotide ribosomal RNA is filed under the name Bacillus toyonensis. RNAcentral's name for it is "bacterial SSU rRNA". It matches the Rfam family "Bacterial small subunit ribosomal RNA", at positions 376 to 918 of the family's 1533-position model. Lineage: Bacteria; Bacillati; Bacillota; Bacilli; Caryophanales; Bacillaceae. The record is from RNAcentral.
CACGAGUCUGACGGAGCACGCCGCGUGAGUGAUGAAGGCUUUCGGGUCGUAAAACUCUGUUGUUAGGGAAGAACAAGUGCUAGUUGAAUAAGCUGGCACCUUGACGGUACCUAACCAGAAAGCCACGGCUAACUACGUGCCAGCAGCCGCGGUAAUACGUAGGUGGCAAGCGUUAUCCGGAAUUAUUGGGCGUAAAGCGCGCGCAGGUGGUUUCUUAAGUCUGAUGUGAAAGCCCACGGCUCAACCGUGGAGGGUCAUUGGAAACUGGGAGACUUGAGUGCAGAAGAGGAAAGUGGAAUUCCAUGUGUAGCGGUGAAAUGCGUAGAGAUAUGGAGGAACACCAGUGGCGAAGGCGACUUUCUGGUCUGUAACUGACACUGAGGCGCGAAAGCGUGGGGAGCAAACAGGAUUAGAUACCCUGGUAGUCCACGCCGUAAACGAUGAGUGCUAAGUGUUAGAGGGUUUCCGCCCUUUAGUGCUGAAGUUAACGAUUUUUCACUCCCCCCGGGGAGUACUGGCGCAAGGAUCAAACUCAAAGGACUUUGCGGGG